UACAGAGGGCCCAAGCGUUGUUCGGAUUCAUUGGGCGUAAAGGGUGCGUAGGCGGCUCGGUAAGUCGGGGGUGAAAUCUCGGGGCUUAACUCCGAAACUGCAUUCGAUACUGCCGUGCUUGAGUACUGGAGAGGAGACUGGAAUUUACGGUGUAGCGGUGAAAUGCGUAGAUAUCGUAAGGAACACCAGUGGCGAAGGCGGGUCUCUGGACAGUUACUGACGCUGAGGCACGAAGGCGUGGGGAGCAAACGGG
RNAcentral lists this ribosomal RNA (253 nucleotides) under uncultured bacterium. Its description in RNAcentral is "partial 16S ribosomal RNA". It matches the Rfam family "Bacterial small subunit ribosomal RNA", at positions 524 to 776 of the family's 1533-position model. The record is from RNAcentral.